RNAcentral lists this transfer RNA (69 nucleotides) under Rhabdoblatta densimaculata. Its description in RNAcentral is "tRNA-Val". The record is from RNAcentral. Lineage: Eukaryota; Metazoa; Arthropoda; Insecta; Blattodea; Blaberidae.
CAAAUUAUCUUAAAAGUUAAGAAUUUCAUUUACACUGGAAUUUAUAUUGUGCAAUUCAAUAUAAUUUGA